AGGGGGAGCGCAAGAUCCUGAGCUGUGUCCCCUGGCACCCUGGGAUCCGGGGUCUGCACCGCUGGAAUCGCGCUCCCGGACAGUGCAGCCUCCU
This 94-nucleotide microRNA precursor is filed under the name Canis lupus familiaris (dog). Its description in RNAcentral is "mir-8799 microRNA precursor family". It matches the Rfam family "mir-8799 microRNA precursor family". Lineage: Eukaryota; Metazoa; Chordata; Mammalia; Carnivora; Canidae. The record is from Rfam by way of RNAcentral.